GUCACAACCAGCGUGGAAACCUGGAGGUUCCCUCCAGAUUGCACAACGCUUUCUUUCCACUCUCCUUGUGUUUCAGGUCUUGGAUCUGUUUGUGGGCUCCUGCACACUGAUAGCCAUCUCACCCGCUUCUAAGUGUCCGUCACAACCAGCGUGGAAACCUGGAGGUUCCCUCCAGAUUGCACAAUGCUUUCUUUCCACUCCUCUUAUGUUUCAGGUCUUGGAUCUCUUCCUGGGCUCCUGCACUCUGAUAUCCAUCUCACCCGCUUGUAAGCAUCCAUCACAGCCGGCGUGGAAACCUGGAGGUUCCCUCCAGGUUUUGGAUCUGUUUGUGGGCUCCUGCACACUGAUAUCCAUCUCACCCGCUUCUAAGUGUCCGUCACAGCCGGCGUUGAAACCUGGAGGUUUCCUCCAGAUUUCAAAACGCUUUCUUUCCACUCUACUUAUGUUUCAGGUCUUGGAUCUGUUCCUGGGCUCCUGCACUCUGAUAUCCAUCUCACCCGCUUCUAAGUGUCCGUCACAGCCGGCGUGGAAACCUGGAAGUUCCC
Long non-coding RNA from Oreochromis aureus, 545 nucleotides. Lineage: Eukaryota; Metazoa; Chordata; Actinopteri; Cichliformes; Cichlidae. The record is from Ensembl.